This 440-nucleotide ribosomal RNA is filed under the name uncultured bacterium. RNAcentral describes it as "partial 16S ribosomal RNA". It matches the Rfam family "Bacterial small subunit ribosomal RNA", at positions 338 to 795 of the family's 1533-position model. The record is from RNAcentral.
CCUACGGGAGGCAGCAGUGGGGAAUAUUGCACAAUGGGGGAACCCCUGAUGCAGCGACGCCGCGUGGGUGAAGAAGUAUUUCGGUAUGUAAAGCUCUAUCAGCGGGGAAGAAAAUGACGGUCCCUGAUUACGACUCCCCGGCUACCUACGUGCCAGCAGCCGCGGUAAUACGUAGGGGGCAAGCGUUAUCCGGAUUUCCUGGGUGUAAAGGGAGCGUAGACGGCAGCGCAAGUCUGAAGUGAAAUGCCGGGGCUUAACCCCGGAACUGCUUUGGAAACUGUGCAGCUAGAGUGCAGGAGAGGUAAGUGGAAUUCCUAGUGUAGCGGUGAAAUGCGUAGAUAUUAGGAGGAACACCAGUGGCGAAGGCGGCUUACUGGACUGUAACUGACGUUGAGGCUCGAAAGCGUGGGGAGCAAACAGGAUUAGAUACCCCUGUAGUC